CACAUGCAAGUCGAGGGGCAGCAUGAACUUAGCUUGCUAAGUUUGAUGGCGACCGGCGCACGGGUGAGUAACACGUAUCCAACCUGCCGAUGACUCGGGGAUAGCCUUUCGAAAGAAAGAUUAAUACCCGAUGGCAUAGUUCUUCCGCAUGGUAGAACUAUUAAAGAAUUUCGGUCAUCGAUGGGGAUGCGUUCCAUUAGGUUGUUGGCGGGGUAACGGCCCACCAAGCCUUCGAUGGAUAGGGGUUCUGAGAGGAAGGUCCCCCACAUUGGAACUGAGACACGGUCCAAACUCCUACGGGAGGCAGCAGUGAGGAAUAUUGGUCAAUGGACGAGAGUCUGAACCAGCCAAGUAGCGUGAAGGAUGACUGCCCUAUGGGUUGUAAACUUCUUUUAUACGGGAAUAAAGUGAGGCACGUGUGCCUUUUUGUAUGUACCGUAUGAAUAAGGAUCGGCUAACUCCGUGCCAGCAGCCGCGGUAAUACGGAGGAUCCGAGCGUUAUCCGGAUUUAUUGGGUUUAAAGGGAGCGUAGGCGGACGCUUAAGUCAGUUGUGAAAGUUUGCGGCUCAACCGUAAAAUUGCAGUUGAUACUGGGUGUCUUGAGUACAGUAGAGGCAGGCGGAAUUCGUGGUGUAGCGGUGAAAUGCUUAGAUAUCACGAAGAACUCCGAUUGCGAAGGCAGCCUGCUGGACUGUAACUGACGCUGAUGCUCGAAAGUGUGGGUAUCAAACAGGAUUAGAUACCCUGGUAGUCCACACAGUAAACGAUGAAUACUCGCUGUUUGCGAUAUACAGUAAGCGGCCAAGCGAAAGCGUUAAGUAUUCCACCUGGGGAGUACGCCGGCAACGGUGAAACUCAAAGGAAUUGACGGGGGCCCGCACAAGCGGAGGAACAUGUGGUUUAAUUCGAUGAUACGCGAGGAACCUUACCCGGGCUUGAAUUGCA
Molecule: ribosomal RNA, 945 nt
Filed under: uncultured bacterium
Lineage: Bacteria
Description: bacterial SSU rRNA
Rfam family: Bacterial small subunit ribosomal RNA
Source: RNAcentral